AUAGCUUCUCGGCCUUUUGGCUAAGAUCAAGUAUAAUAUCUGUUCUUAUCAGUUUAAAGAGGCCCAUCUCUUGACCAGGGCUUUCCUGGUGGCUCAGCUGGUAAAGAGUCCACCUUCAAUGCCAGAGACCUGGGUUCGAUCCCUA
Molecule: small nuclear RNA, 145 nt
Filed under: Moschus moschiferus (Siberian musk deer)
Lineage: Eukaryota; Metazoa; Chordata; Mammalia; Artiodactyla; Moschidae
Description: U2 spliceosomal RNA (ENSMMSG00000011264.1)
Rfam family: U2 spliceosomal RNA
About the family: U2 is a small nuclear RNA (snRNA) component of the spliceosome (involved in pre-mRNA splicing). Complementary binding between U2 snRNA (in an area lying towards the 5' end but 3' to hairpin I) and the branchpoint sequence (BPS) of the intron results the bulging out of an unpaired adenosine, on the BPS, which initiates a nucleophilic attack at the intronic 5' splice site, thus starting the first of two transesterification reactions that mediate splicing.
Source: Rfam by way of RNAcentral